CUAAUUUUAUUUCUUUCUCUAUUUCUUACUAUAAAGGCAGUUGACAAUAUAUAUGCAAGGUACGACGGCUGUGAAUCUGAUAAUGAUUGUCAUAAAUUAUUUGAGGGUAAAGAAAUUCUAAAUUAUUACCGUGCAGAGUGCCAGUUUGAUGUUUGUUUUUUAGUUCGCAUAAAACGAAUCCCAAAGUAGACAAACGCCAUAUGUAGAGAAGAAUGAGUUCUCCUUGUAGCAACUAAUAAUUGUAUUUUUAUCUUUAAAAUGUUGGUAAUGAAAUGAAAUAAAAUAAUCUUCUUCUCUCUUAAUAUAUGUAUUUUUUUUUUUUACUUUGAAGCCCAUAACUCUAAUUCUAUAGGAUAAUAUUGUCAAGUUUA
RNAcentral lists this long non-coding RNA (371 nucleotides) under Trifolium pratense (red clover). RNAcentral's name for it is "long non-coding RNA (TPRA_LNC002146)". The record is from RNAcentral. Lineage: Eukaryota; Viridiplantae; Streptophyta; Magnoliopsida; Fabales; Fabaceae.